UAUACAUAUAUAUGUAUAUAUAUAUAUAUAUAUAUAUAUAUAUAUACCACUUAGCCAUACGGUCUUUCAAAAAGGGAAUAGAACAUCUAUAAGAAAUAGUUUCUAUUCUGUUUGGCUGAAAACACAUCCAAAAGACAACAACUACACCAACAAGUACCAGAAAGUCAAGCCCUCAAAAAAAAUAAUAUUCUAAGUGUAUAAUAACUUUUAAUAACAUAUCCUCAUGCAGGGGUCAAGCUUUGCCCAGGUUUGUUGAAAUUUUUCCUUUUUUUUUUUCCUAUUUCUUUUGGGGUUGUGUAAUCUUGGCUUCAUAUUAAAAUACCAAAAAAACAAAAAAAAACAAGUAUAAAUAUAUAUAUGCUAAGUUCUUUUUUUUAAAAAUAAGAAAUUUGACAAUCAAACAAUGGAAGAUUUUUGUUGGAACUCUUGUAAGAAAAUUGACAUAAAAGAGUAUUCAAAAAAAAGAAUUUAUUAUUUUCCGUUCCUCUUCUAUUCAUUAACAAUAUUCUAAAUGCAAGUAUGGACUUUCCAAAACUACUACAGGAUCAACCAGUUCCAUGCGGAAGCGGUUUUGCACUCUUUCUUUAAAUCGUCAAAAAUACAAAGAAUCUAUUUUAUAUUUUAGUGUUACUACAUAUAUUUCUAUGGCUUCUGGUCUUUUUUGUCUUUUUCUUUCUUUCCUUUCUUUGGUUUUUUUUUUUUAAAAAAAACAUAAUUUUUCACUUUGCUUGUCUUUUCUGGUACUGAUUUGUUCUGGUUUUGUUGGUGUCUGUAUACAAAGUCUUAAAUUGUUGCUUGGCUCAGGACAUGCAUAUACAUAUAUACAUACAUUCAUACAUACACACACAUACAUAGAUACAUAUAUACAUGCAUAUAUACACAUAUAUGUAUGUAUGUAUUUAUAUAUGUAUAUAUAAUUUUCAGUCAUUAGCCAAAGAAAAUGACAAAGCUUUUAAAAAAAAUAUUAAAAA
This is a long non-coding RNA of Octopus sinensis (East Asian common octopus), 971 nucleotides long. RefSeq lists it as uncharacterized. The transcript has 2 exons. NCBI's taxonomy places the organism in Eukaryota, Metazoa, Mollusca, Cephalopoda, Octopoda, Octopodidae. The record is from RefSeq and is a predicted model, not a curated record.